GAUGAACGCUGGCGGCGUGCCUAAUACAUGCAAGUCGAGCGAACGGACGAGAAGCUUGCUUCUCUGAUGUUAGCGGCGGACGGGUGAGUAACACGUGGAUAACCUACCUAUAAGACUGGGAUAACUUCGGGAAACCGGAGCUAAUACCGGAUAAUAUUUUGAACCGCAUGGUUCAAAAGUGAAAGACGGUCUUGCUGUCACUUAUAGAUGGAUCCGCGCUGCAUUAGCUAGUUGGUAAGGUAACGGCUUACCAAGGCAACGAUGCAUAGCCGACCUGAGAGGGUGAUCGGCCACACUGGAACUGAGACACGGUCCAGACUCCUACGGGAGGCAGCAGUAGGGAAUCUUCCGCAAUGGGCGAAAGCCUGACGGAGCAACGCCGCGUGAGUGAUGAAGGUCUUCGGAUCGUAAAACUCUGUUAUUAGGGAAGAACAUAUGUGUAAGUAACUGUGCACAUCUUGACGGUACCUAAUCAGAAAGCCACGGCUAACUACGUGCCAGCAGCCGCGGUAAUACGUAGGUGGCAAGCGUUAUCCGGAAUUAUUGGGCGUAAAGCGCGCGUAGGCGGUUUUUUAAGUCUGAUGUGAAAGCCCACGGCUCAACCGUGGAGGGUCAUUGGAAACUGGAAAACUUGAGUGCAGAAGAGGAAAGUGGAAUUCCAUGUGUAGCGGUGAAAUGCGCAGAGAUAUGGAGGAACACCAGUGGCGAAGGCGACUUUCUGGUCUGUAACUGACGCUGAUGUGCGAAAGCGUGGGGAUCAAACAGGAUUAGAUACCCUGGUAGUCCACGCCGUAAACGAUGAGUGCUAAGUGUUAGGGGGUUUCCGCCCCUUAGUGCUGCAGCUAACGCAUUAAGCACUCCGCCUGGGGAGUACGACCGCAAGGUUGAAACUCAAAGGAAUUGACGGGGACCCGCACAAGCGGUGGAGCAUGUGGUUUAAUUCGAAGCAACGCGAAGAACCUUACCAAAUCUUGACAUCCUUUGACAACUCUAGAGAUAGAGCCUUCCCCUUCGGGGGACAAAGUGACAGGUGGUGCAUGGUUGUCGCCAGCUCGUGUCGUGAGAUGUUGGGUUAAGUCCCGCAACGAGCGCAACCCUUAAGCUUAGUUGCCAUCAUUAAGUUGGGCACUCUAAGUUGACUGCCGGUGACAAACCGGAGGAAGGUGGGGAUGACGUCAAAUCAUCAUGCCCCUUAUGAUUUGGGCUACACACGUGCUACAAUGGACAAUACAAAGGGCAGCGAAACCGCGAGGUCAAGCAAAUCCCAUAAAGUUGUUCUCAGUUCGGAUUGUAGUCUGCAACUCGACUACAUGAAGCUGGAAUCGCUAGUAAUCGUAGAUCAGCAUGCUACGGUGAAUACGUUCCCGGGUCU
Molecule: ribosomal RNA, 1372 nt
Filed under: uncultured bacterium
Lineage: Bacteria
Description: bacterial SSU rRNA
Rfam family: Bacterial small subunit ribosomal RNA
Source: RNAcentral